RNAcentral lists this non-coding RNA (24 nucleotides) under Arabidopsis thaliana (thale cress). Lineage: Eukaryota; Viridiplantae; Streptophyta; Magnoliopsida; Brassicales; Brassicaceae. The record is from RNAcentral.
CAUCGUCCAAAGGUUCCAAACAAA